This 523-nucleotide ribosomal RNA is filed under the name uncultured eukaryote. RNAcentral's name for it is "SSU rRNA". It matches the Rfam family "Eukaryotic small subunit ribosomal RNA", at positions 613 to 1140 of the family's 1831-position model. The record is from RNAcentral.
UUGCAGUUAAAAAGCUCGUAGUUGGAUUUCGGAGUGGGCCAGUUGGUCCGCCGCAAGGUGUGUUACUGACUGGUUUGCUCUUCUUCGCAAAGACUGCGUGUGCUCUUCAGUGAGUGUGCGUAGGAUUUACGACGUUUACUUUGAAAAAAUUAGAGUGUUCAAAGCAGGCUAUUGCUUGAAUACAUGAGCAUGGAAUAAUGGAAUAGGACUUUGGUCCCAUUUUGUUGGUUUCUAGGGCCGAAGUAAUGAUUAAGAGGGACAAUUGGGGGCAUCCGUAUUUCGUUGUCAGAGGUGAAAUUCUUGGAUUUACGAAAGACGAACAACUGCGAAAGCACUUGCCAAGAGUGUUUUCAUUAAUCAAGAACGAAAGUUAGAGGAUCGAAGACGAUCAGAUACCGUCCUAGUUCUAACCAUAAACGAUGUCCGACUAGGGAUCAGCGGGCGUUAUCGUACGACCCCGUUGGCACCUUACGGGAAACCAAAGUUUCUGGAUUCCCGGGGGAAGUAUGGUUGCAAAAGCUGA